CCUGGGUACCAGUAAGUUUACAUCUACCAAGGCUACACGCUAAUUACAUUUUCUUUUUUAAUGUUAUCUAUUUAUCAAAUUUAGUUUCUUAAUGGAAAUUAAUAGACUAAGUCUCUGCAGUAAAAAAAAUCAGCUACAACAUAGCAGUUUGAAUAUUUUUUUUUCAGCUUUCAUCUUAUUCAGGCUUUAAGGGCUUUGAGUGUCUGGUUGGUGGUGAAGGCGUAUGAAAUGGGUGAUAUGAUUUAAGAGCAGGAGAUGGUAGGGAAGGAGUUAAUUUUCUCCCUUUUGCCAGAGGAAGGGCCACAGCUGCCUGAACUGAGCAGGGGGAUUUUCAGGGUUGCCAGCUGUGGGGAUUUAAUUGUUUCACCCGCGAGUCUAUAAAGGGGGGUACCACAGGGUAGCUCUAAAUCCUGUUGUGAUUCAGGGAGGAGGAGGUGAUUUGGAGGUCAGCUAUUGCAUAUGAAGUACCCUGUGUAUUCAGAAUGCUCAGCAAAGUGUUAAAUCAUUGACGCAGGAGACGUUCCAAGUGUUGAUGCCUUGCUGAAGCAUGUGACAAGGAAGAAGAUGGUACUUGUUCACUUAAGAGGCAAACAGAACAUUUGGAAGUGACAUGGCAGUUGGUGGACACCUACAUUUGCUUCUUGGCCAAGGCUUCCAAAGGGAUCACUGACGGCACCUUGCUACACUGCUGUCUCUGGGUUUGGCUGUGGAAAUCUGAAGAUACCUGCAAAAUGUCACCUGCUAGAAAUGAUGGGGACUUUAGAGGGUCCAUCCAACAAGGCUAA
This 785-nucleotide long non-coding RNA is filed under the name Numida meleagris (helmeted guineafowl). RNAcentral's name for it is "lncRNA (ENSNMEG00000013033.1)". The record is from RNAcentral. Lineage: Eukaryota; Metazoa; Chordata; Aves; Galliformes; Numididae.